GACAAUUUCAAAGGAUCAGUUUGAAAAGAAGAAAAAUGACACCUUAGACCCCGAACCGGAGAUUGGGAGAAAAGAGGAAUGAAGCGCUUGUACAAAG
RNAcentral lists this small RNA (97 nucleotides) under Pan troglodytes (chimpanzee). RNAcentral describes it as "processed transcript". The record is from RNAcentral. Lineage: Eukaryota; Metazoa; Chordata; Mammalia; Primates; Hominidae.